RNAcentral lists this ribosomal RNA (256 nucleotides) under uncultured bacterium. RNAcentral's name for it is "partial 16S ribosomal RNA". It matches the Rfam family "Bacterial small subunit ribosomal RNA", at positions 521 to 776 of the family's 1533-position model. The record is from RNAcentral.
UAAUACGUAGGUGGCAAGCGUUAUCCGGAAUUACUGGGCGUAAAGCGCACGCAGGUGGUUGGGUAAGAUUGACGUGAAACCUUCUGGCUUAACUGGAAGACGUCGUUGAUGACUGCUCGACUUGAGACGAGGAGAGGGGUGCAGAAUUCCCGGUGUAGUGGUGGAAUGCGUAGAUAUCGGGAGGAAUACCAGUGGCGAAAGCGGCACCCUGGCCUUAGUCUGACGCUCAGGUGCGAAAGCGUGGGGAGCGAACGGG